AACGAACGCUGGCGGCAUGCCUAACACAUGCAAGUCGAACGAGACCUUCGGGUCUAGUGGCGCACGGGUGCGUAACGCGUGGGAAUCUGCCCUUGGGUUCGGAAUAACAGUUAGAAAUGACUGCUAAUACCGGAUGAUGUCUUCGGACCAAAGAUUUAUCGCCCAGGGAUGAGCCCGCGUAGGAUUAGCUAGUUGGUGGGGUAAAGGCCUACCAAGGCGACGAUCCUUAGCUGGUCUGAGAGGAUGAUCAGCCACACUGGGACUGAGACACGGCCCAGACUCCUACGGGAGGCAGCAGUGGGGGAAUAUUGCGCAAUGGCGAAAGCCUGACGCAGCGACGCCGCGUGGGUGAUGAAGGCCUUCGGUCGUAAGACCCUGUCGCAGGGGAAGGAAGUAAAGACG
Molecule: ribosomal RNA, 402 nt
Filed under: uncultured bacterium
Lineage: Bacteria
Description: bacterial SSU rRNA
Rfam family: Bacterial small subunit ribosomal RNA
Source: RNAcentral